RNAcentral lists this long non-coding RNA (548 nucleotides) under Cyanistes caeruleus (blue tit). RNAcentral describes it as "lncRNA (ENSCCEG00000023818.1)". The record is from RNAcentral. Lineage: Eukaryota; Metazoa; Chordata; Aves; Passeriformes; Paridae.
AUGUCUCUAUCAAGUGUCCUUAGGAAAAAUAUUUCCUUCAAGACCACAAGAGCAGUGCAGCUGGACAAACUGGAGCUAGUCAAAAGCUGUCAGAGCCCUAUUUAUCGGGGAGAUACCUGCACCCAGCAGGCUGCUAGACAUGGAGCACUGAGGAGAGUGGCUGGAGCCCCUGAAGCAACCAGAACGUGGUGUCUGAGAGCAUUGGGAAGAGAGAAGCAGCUGACCUGGAAAGUCAGAAGGCAGAAAAAAAUGUCAGUCAGUGGGAAAUGAUUAACAGCUCGUCCAGUUUAUGCCAAGGACAGAGGGUUCUCUCAAGCAUUCUUGUGCAGUCCUGGCUGUCAGCUGAAACAUGCUGAAGAACAGGAGCAAUCCGGUGUAUGGGCCUGGUCCAAAACUAGCUUAGCUGAGCAAAAAGAUUCUGAAGGUUAGGAUUGGACCCCCAUUAAAGGGGCUUUGUGUUUCUGUGUUUUUCAGGGUUGAUCUUGUUAUUCCUGUUCUUCAUAAAAAAAAAAAUGAAAAGAAAAAAAUAAAAAAAGAAGCAUAUGCCA